This 71-nucleotide transfer RNA is filed under the name Enterococcus faecium. Its description in RNAcentral is "tRNA-OTHER". It matches the Rfam family "tRNA". From Rfam's summary of the family: Transfer RNA (tRNA) molecules are approximately 80 nucleotides in length. Lineage: Bacteria; Bacillati; Bacillota; Bacilli; Lactobacillales; Enterococcaceae. The record is from RNAcentral.
GUACCCUUAGCUCAGAUGGCAGAGCGGACGGUGGAAAACGCCGGUCGUAGGUUCGAGUCCUACAGGGUACA